CCUACGGGCGGCAGCAGUGAGGAAUAUUGGUCAAUGGGCGCAAGCCUGAACCAGCCAAGUCGCGUGAGGGAUGACGGUCCUAUGGAUUGUAAACCUCUUUUGUCGGGGAGCAAGGCCCGCCACGUGUGGCGGGAAGGAGAGUACCCGAAGAAAAAGCAUCGGCUAACGCCGUGCCAGCAGCCGCGGUAAUACGGAGGAUGCGAGCGUUAUCCGGAUUUAUUGGGUUUAAAGGGUGCGUAGGCGGAAGGUUAAGUCAGCGGUCAAAUGUCGGUGCUCAACACCGGCCUGCCGUUGAAACUGGUCGUCUUGAGUGAGCGAGAAGUAUGCGGAAUGCGUGGUGUAGCGGUGAAAUGCAUAGAUAUCACGCAGAACUCCGAUUGCGAAGGCAGCAUACCGGCGCUCAACUGACGCUGAGGCACGAAAGCGUGGGGAUCGAACAGGAUUAGAUACCCCUGUAGUC
RNAcentral lists this ribosomal RNA (460 nucleotides) under uncultured bacterium. Its description in RNAcentral is "partial 16S ribosomal RNA". It matches the Rfam family "Bacterial small subunit ribosomal RNA", at positions 338 to 795 of the family's 1533-position model. The record is from RNAcentral.